AGACAGUUUAAUAUAAUGAAGGACAGGCAGUUUAAUAUAUUGCAAUGAGAAGGUCCAAUGUCCUGAUUAAUAAGAAGAGUCAUGGGAAAUGUGCAAUACAAUGCAAAAAGACUUUAAUAAAUUCCAGAAGCUCACACAUACAUAAACAAAACAUUUAUAUACAGUUUUUCUUCACAUAAUUGGCAAAUCAAAGUUAAUUACAAAGAGUAAUGUAAGGAGCAUAUUGUACUUCACAUUGAAUAAAAGUGAGGUUGGUAUUCCAUCGUCAUCUGUCUCCCAUACAACAGAAGCUGUCUUGUCUCAUAUAUUCAUGUAUGUUUUUUUUUCUCUCUUUUCUCCCGAAGAUCGGGUACAUCUAAUGAUGAUUGCAGUGCUAAGAUGCUCUGUAUAGUUCACACUGUGUUUCUACUCAGUAGUGUUACAUUUGAUACCAUAAUUACAUCUGAUACCUUCUCCAAGAAACGAUUUGAAUCAUUAGGAAGGUAUCGUAUAUGUGCCACACAUACUGUACAUACAGCCUCGUCUACCAAAGCAGUCUCUAUCAUAAGACAACCGUUAAACAUCAUGACUAUUAACAACAGUGCUAACCCACCAAGCUGUUUAUUAGUGUAGUAUUGAAGAUAGUAAUUAAGAUCAGGACAUGACUCCAAGUGUUUACGCAAUGCAGUAGAGGCAUAUAUUUGUUGUGGAUACCAAACCAGAAACCAAAAGAUUCUUCUCUCUUCCUAAAGUCACCUUAUUGCUGCUAAUAAAUGGAAGCCUGCUGAACGCUGAACGACCUACCCGUGUAGGUGUUCAAGGUUUAUUCCUCCUAAUUUCAAUGGAAUAAAUAAUGCGUCAUAUAUAAAUUAGUGCACGAGAAGAGAAAAAGAACAAACAAAAAAAGUUUGCAUUAUUAUUAUUUUUGCUUCAGACCAACCAAGUGGUAUCAACGAACUGCCUGAGUUUUACCAUUUGGAAUAUUCAUUUUAAAUUCGUAACACUAUAUCUCACAGGUUAGAUCGGCUGUCUCGCUGACUCCGAUACACUAAGGUUAAACCAUGGUGCUCUACUGUCUCACUGACUCCGAUACACUAAGGUUAAUCCAUGGUGCUCUACUGUGGAGCUGACUCCGAUACACUAAGGUUAAACCAUGGUGCUCUACUGUCUCACUGACUCCGAUACACUAAGGUUAAACCAUGGUGCUCUACUGUCUCACUGACUCCGAUACACUAAGGUUAAACCAUGGUGCUCUACUGUCUCACUGACUCCGAUACACUAAGGUUAAACCAUGGUGCUCUACUGUCUCACUGACUCCGAUACACUAAGGUUAAUCCAUGGUGCUCUAUUGUGGAGCUGACUCCGAUACACUAAGGUUAAACCAUGGUGCUCUACUGUGGAGCUGACUCCGAUACACUAAGGUUAAACCAUGGUGCUCUACUGUGGAGCUGACUCCGAUACACUAAGGUUAAACCAUGGUGCUCUACUGUGGAGCUGACUCCGAUACACUAAGGUUAAACCAUGGUGCUCUACUGUGGAGCUGACUCCGAUACACUAAGGUUAAACCAUGGUGCUCUACUGUCUCACUGACUCCGAUACACUAAGGUUAAACCAUGGUGCUCUACUGUGGAGCUGACUCCGAUACACUAAGGUUAAUCCAUGGUGCUCUACUGUGGAGCUGACUCCGAUACACUAAGGUUAAACCAUGGUGCUCUACUGUCUCGCUGACUCCGAUACACUAAGGUUAAACCAUGGUGCUCUACUGUCUCGCUGACUCCGAUACACUAAGGUUAAACCAUGGUGCUCUACUGUCUCGCUGACUCCGAUACACUAAGGUUAAACCAUGGUGCUCUACUGUCUCACUGACUCCGAUACACUAAGGUUAAUCCAUGGUGCUCUACUGUGGAGCUGACUCCGAUACACUAAGGUUAAACCAUGGUGCUCUACUGUCUCGCUGACUCCGAUACACUAAGGUUAAACCAUGGUGCUCUACUGUCUCGCUGACUCCGAUACACUAAGGUUAAACCAUGGUGCUCUACUGUCUCGCUGACUCCGAUACACUAAGGUUAAACCAUGGUGCUCUACUGUCUCGCUGACUCCGAUACACUAAGGUUAAACCAUGGUGCUCUACUGUGGAGCUGACUCCAAUACACUAAGGUUAAACCAUGGUGCUCUACUGUGGAGCUGUCUCACUGACUCCGAUACACUAAGGUUAAUCCAUGGUGCUCUACUGUCUCGCUGACUCCGAUACACUAAGGUUAAACCAUGGUGCUCUACUGUGGAGCUGUCUCGCUGACUCCGAUACACUAAGGUUAAACCAUGGUGCUCUACUGUCUCGCUGACUCCGAUACACUAAGGUUAAACCAUGGUGCUCUACUGUCUCACUGACUCCGAUACACUAAGGUUAAACCAUGGUGCUCUACUGUGGAGCUGACUCCAAUACACUAAGGUUAAACCAUGGUGCUCUACUGUGGAGCUGUCUCACUGACUCCGAUACACUAAGGUUAAUCCAUGGUGCUCUACUGUCUCGCUGACUCCGAUACACUAAGGUUAAACCAUGGUGCUCUACUGUCUCACUGACUCCGAUACACUAAGGUUAAACCAUGGUGCUCUACUGUGGAGCUGACUCCGAUACACUAAGGUUAAACCAUGGUGCUCUACUGUCUCACUGACUCCGAUACACUAAGGUUAAACCAUGGUGCUCUACUGUGGAGCUGACUCCGAUACACUAAGGUUAAACCAUGGUGCUCUACUGUCUCACUGACUCCGAUACACUAAGGUUAAUCCAUGGUGCUCUACUGUGGAGCUGACUCCGAUACACUAAGGUUAAACCAUGGUGCUCUACUGUGGAGCUGACUCCGAUACACUAAGGUUAAACCAUGGUGCUCUACUGUGGAGCUGACUCCGAUACACUAAGGUUAAACCAUGGUGCUCUACUGUGGAGCUGACUCCGAUACACUAAGGUUAAACCAUGGUGCUCUACUGUGGAUCUGUCUCGCUGACUCUAACUGACGGGGCGGCAGGUAGCCUAGUGGUUAGUGCGUUGGACUAGUAACUGAUAGGCUUGGACGAUCGAAUCCCCGAGCUGACAAUCUGUCGUUCUGCCUCUGAACAAGGCAGUUAACCCACUGUUCCUGGGCUGUCAUUGGAAAUAAUAAUUUGUUCUUAAAACUGACUUUCCUAUUUGAAUAAAGAUACAAAAAAACAUGGUGCUCUGCUAUGAAGCUGUCUAUAACUGACUCUAGUACAGGUUAAACCAUGGUGCUCUGCUAUGAAGCUGUCUAACUGACUCUAGUACAGGUUAAAUCAUGGUGCUCUGCUAUGAAGCUGUCUAUAACUGACUCUAGUACAGGUUAAACCAUGGUGCUCUGCUAUGAAGCUGUCUAACUGACUCUAGUACAGGUUAAACCAUGGUGCUCUGCUAUGAAGCUGUCUAACUGACUCUAGUACAGGUUAAAUCAUGGUGCUCUGCUAUGAAGCUGUCUAUAACUGACUCUAGUACAGGUUAAACCAUGGUGCUCUGCUAUGAAGCUGUCUAACUGACUCUAGUACAGGUUAAACCAUGGUGCUCUGCUAUGAAGCUGUCUAACUGACUCUAGUACAGGUUAAACCAUGGUGCUCUGCUAUGAAGCUGUCUAUCUGACUCUAGUACAGGUUAAAUCAUGGUGCUCUGCUAUGAAGCUGUCUAUAACUGACUCUAGUACAGGUUAAACCAUGGUGCUCUGCUAUGAAGCUGUCUAACUGACUCUAGUACAGGUUAAACCAUGGUGCUCUGCUAUGAAGCUGUCUAACUGACUCUAGUACAGGUUAAACCAUGGUGCUCUGCUAUGAAGCUGUCUAUCUGACUCUAGUACAGGUUAAAUCAUGGUGCUCUGCUAUGAAGCUGUCUAUAACUGACUCUAGUACAGGUUAAACCAUGGUGCUCUGCUAUGAAGCUGUCUAACUGACUCUAGUACAGGUUAAAUCAUGGUGCUCUGCUAUGAAGCUGUCUAACUGACUCUAGUACAGGUUAAACCAUGGUGCUCUGCUAUGAAGCUGUCUAACUGACUCUAGUACAGGUUAAACCAUGGUGCUCUGCUAUGAAGCUGUCUAUCUGACUCUAGUACAGGUUAAAUCAUGGUGCUCUGCUAUGAAGCUGUCUAUCUGACUCUAGUACAGGUUAAACCAUGGUCCUCUUUUAUGAACCAAGCCAUUCCGUCCCUUGUGAUUGUGGCUCAAAGUAGUAAACUCUAUUAUGAGGUACAAUUCCCUACUGUCCCACGGUGACAAUCGGUAGACAAUGUGGUGUUCCAGUCCAGUGGGCCAUGCAUGCACUUGCCACACUCUUCAGUACUAACAGUUAGCUGUGGUGUUCCAGUCCAGUGGGCCAUAUAUAUUAACACUAGCCACGCUCUUCACUGCUAACACUAACUGUGGCACUGUAAGUGUAUGGGAUGAUACGAGGUGAUCAUUGACAUAAAAGUACAGAACAGUCACAUAGUAGGCCUAUUAGCAGUAGGCCAAUUUGCUGUAGGCCUAUUAGCAGUAGGCCAAUUUGCUGUAGGCCUAUUAGCAGUAGGCCAAUUUGCUGUAGGCCUAUUAGCAGUAGGC
This is a long non-coding RNA of Oncorhynchus keta (chum salmon), 4569 nucleotides long. RefSeq lists it as uncharacterized. The record is from RefSeq and is a predicted model, not a curated record. NCBI's taxonomy places the organism in Eukaryota, Metazoa, Chordata, Actinopteri, Salmoniformes, Salmonidae. The transcript has 6 exons.